CCUACGGGUGGCAGCAGUGAGGAAUAUUGGUCAAUGGACGCGAGUCUGAACCAGCCAUGCAGCGUGCAGGAUGACGGCCCUACGAGUUGUACACUUCUUUUGUAAGGGAAUAAACGCAGAUACGCGUACCUGUCUGAAAGUAUCUUACGAAUAAGGAUCGGCUAACUCCGUGCCAGCAGCCGCGGUAAUACGGAGGAUUCGAGCGUUAUCCGGAUUUAUUGGGUUUAAAGGGUGCGUAGGCGGUCUGAUAAGUUAGUGGUGAAAGCCCGCGGCUCAACUUCAGAAUUGCCUUUGAUACUGUCAGCCUAGAGAGUAGUUGCGGUAGGCGGAAUGUAUGGUGUAGCGGUGAAAUGCUUAGAGAUCACACAGAACACCGAUUGCGAAGGCAGCUUACCAAGCUACCACUGACGUUGAGGCACGAAAGCGUGGGUAUCAAACAGGAUUAGAUACCCGAGUAGUC
Molecule: ribosomal RNA, 460 nt
Filed under: uncultured bacterium
Lineage: Bacteria
Description: partial 16S ribosomal RNA
Rfam family: Bacterial small subunit ribosomal RNA
Source: RNAcentral